CCUACGGGAGGCAGCAGUGAGGAAUAUUGGUCAAUGGACGAGAGUCUGUACCAGCCAAGUAGCGUGAAGGAUGACUGCCCUAUGGGUUGUAAACUUCUUUUAUAUGGGAAUAAAAUGUUCCACGUGUGGGAUUUUGUAUGUACCAUAUGAAUAAGGAUCGGCUAACUCCGUGCCAGCAGCCGCGGUAAUACGGAGGAUCCGAGCGUUAUCCGGAUUUAUUGGGUUUAAAGGGAGCGUAGGUGGAUUGUUAAGUCAGUUGUGAAAGUUUGCGGCUCAACCGUAAAAUUGCAGUUGAAACUGGCAGUCUUGAGUACAGUAGAGGUGGGCGGAAUUCGUGGUGUAGCGGUGAAAUGCUUAGAUAUCACGAAGAACUCCGAUUGCGAAGGCAGCUCACUGGACUGCAACUGACACUGAGGCUCGAAAGUGUGGGUAUCAAACAGGAUUAGAUACCCGGGUAGUC
RNAcentral lists this ribosomal RNA (460 nucleotides) under uncultured bacterium. RNAcentral's name for it is "partial 16S ribosomal RNA". It matches the Rfam family "Bacterial small subunit ribosomal RNA", at positions 338 to 795 of the family's 1533-position model. The record is from RNAcentral.